AGUGAACGCUGGCGGUAGGCCUAACACAUGCAAGUCGAACGGCAGCACAGUAAGAGCUUGCUCUUACGGGUGGCGAGUGGCGGACGGGUGCGGAAUACAUCGGAAUCUACUUUUUCGUGGGGGAUAACGUGGGGAAACUUACGCUAAUACAGCAUACGACCUACGGGUGAAAGCAGGGGCUCUUCGGACCUUGCGCGAUUGAAUGAGCCGAUGUCGGAUUAGCUAGUUGGCGGGGUAAAGGCCCACCAAGGCGACGAUCCGUAGCUGGUCUGAGAGGAUGAUCCGCCACACUGGAACUGGGACACGGUCCAGACUCCUACGGGAGGCAGCAGUGGGGAAUAUUGGACAAUGGGCGCAAGCCUGAUCCAGCCAUACCGCGUGGGUGAAGAAGGCCUUCGGGUUGUAAAGCCCUUUUGUUGGGAAAGAAAAGCAGCAGGUUAAUACCCCGCUGUUCUGACGGUACCCAAAGAAUAAGUACCGGCUAACUUCGUG
RNAcentral lists this ribosomal RNA (492 nucleotides) under uncultured bacterium. RNAcentral's name for it is "partial 16S ribosomal RNA". It matches the Rfam family "Bacterial small subunit ribosomal RNA", at positions 29 to 507 of the family's 1533-position model. The record is from RNAcentral.